Diceros bicornis minor is the source of this 1091-nucleotide long non-coding RNA. RefSeq lists it as uncharacterized. The transcript is spliced from 3 exons. Lineage: Eukaryota; Metazoa; Chordata; Mammalia; Perissodactyla; Rhinocerotidae. The record is from RefSeq and is a predicted model, not a curated record.
AGCAGGAGAAAUGACACCAAGAUAGCUGCCGGGGUCCUGAGGAACAUGCGAGUGAAGCAGAUGGGAAAGGAGCUUCAGGUUCAUCCUCAUCCUUGAGGGAAAACCUGAGGGCCCAGCCAAGGUCCCGCAAGUUGAAGCGAGCCUCUCUGCAGGGCGAACCCGCACCCAGUGCCACCCAGGAAGCCACCAGUCAGGCGCGAGCACAGAGUCUCUGGAAGGAACUCCAGGAGACAGUGUGGCCUCCACAGUGUGUGGCAGCCUGGGAGAUGCAAACACGUUUGCUGUAGAUGCUGGCGAUGAGACCCCCUCUGCCCAGCCAGGGCCUGCUGAGUAAGAGUGGCAUUUCCAUGGGUGACUUUAUCCCUCAGGAUCUGAGGCAUGCACAUUUAUUGGCUGGCUUCCUUCUUACAGUUUCUCCUCAGCACACACUCAAGAGAGGCCAUCUGUCCCUUGAGAGGCUGUUGACGGAAAGAGGCUGAAGAGAGAUGUGGAGCCCAGCUACAGCGGGACCAGCCCUGGGCCUGAUGAGAGCUUGGCCCAGAGCCCCCACAUUCAUCAUUCACAAUGAUGCCUCAGAAACCCUCCCAGAGCCCCUCCACCCUCCAACAGAUGUCACCCCCGAGCCAGCCGCAGAAGAUGUGCAGGGCGAACACAGCGACACCGGCCCCACGUCCCUCAGCAGGGUCAUCCUGUCAGCACUGGGGGCCCAAGAACUCCUCGACUCGCUGUCUCCUACUACUUCUGCUCCCGGGGGAACCGGAGCACGGGUGCCGCCUGCGGGAGCAGGUGGAGAAGGAUAGCGAGCUGAAGAGGGGCAGCUGCCGACAGCCAGGUGCACACGCUGCAGGAGGAUAUGGACGAGCUGAAUGAAGGGGGCUCCCUAACUGAGGAGCAUGCUGCCCCCCACUGAGUUUGGUGGCAGCAGUGGGAUCCAAAGGAGACGCCUGAUGGCUUUGAGGAUGAGAAACACAGUCAUUGGUACCCUCAAAACCUUUGAGUUCUCCAUCUUUUUCGCUGUUUCUGAGGGCUGUGGCGCCAGCUACAGAGCUCCAGCCAGCGGCAGAAGAAGAGCAGUGGGCAGUGGUGGAGGU